UGCACUUCAACUUCUGUCAGAAAGACUUGGAUGUGGCAGUUGUGUCUCGCUUGCAGAUUGAAAUGAUACUGCCUCAUUACCUCUUGUUUUUUUGUGGAAGAGUGAAGUGUUUCAGCAUUCAAUUUUAGUGCUAAGUCCACUUCCAAGUUUUCAAGUUUUUUAUUGUGGGUAUUUUUUUGUCUUUGAAUGCGUCCAAUUGAUGAUGAACUGAGAACAUCUCUCAGGCUUUCUCCGAGAAGUAAACUUCAAAUACUAUUUAGUUUGCAGUUAAGAAACAAACAAACAAUCCCCCAAACCCCAGAACAACAACAAAAACUGAUAACACAAACCCAAACAAUUUUAAGAACAAUAUCCUGACAAUAUUCUGAACAAGUUAAUAUAUUUUGCAAGUAGUCUUGUUUUUUUGGACAAAGCUGUCUUUGAAUGAACGAGUUAAAUUGUAUCAUUUUCCUUCUAUUUAUGAUCUGGUGUGGUGUAAUCUGGUACAUAUCUCUGAAGUUUGAUAGAUACUUUUCCCACCACGUAGCCUGAAAUGUCUUGUUAAGAUUUAGCAAACUGAAGAUUAUUCUCUCCUGGAUAAUGAUCUAAGAGUUAUCAUUACAUCAUUUGGCUCAGUAGUGUGUUUCUUGUACAUCUAAAAGACAAUUCUCAGUGUUCUUUAACUGUGUUUAUUGUGUGUGGAGCACAGAUCUGAAUGGUCAGCUUUACAGGGAUAUAUUGGGAAUAUAUUUGUUUAGGUUACAGCUUCGAGUUGUUUAGUAUGUCACGUUUCUACUCUUUGGUUAGGGAGCAAUCCGUUCCUUAACGUUUGCUAUCACACAAGCUUGUGAUUUCAUGAUUGGUGUGUUACUGUUGCCAGUGUUUGAGGUGUUACCUCAGCCCAGGCAACAAUGCUACAUAUCAGCAGGGUAACAUAACAGAAAAGCCCAAGGAAUUGAUGGAAGUUAGCAGUCAGCUGUUUGUCUGCACAGACAUCUUUCUACUUUGACAUUAUCCAUACAGGAACUGUGCUCUGGGGAGGAUUAUGCAAUACUGGAAAUAACAACUUGUAACAGUAGUAGUCUACGAUUGCAACAAAUGACAUCAAGCAGUGUGUGGGAAUCCAGAUUCUUUAUGGAUGUGUGAAAGGUGGUUAUUAUUUGGUGGGGUUUAUCUAACCUCUUACCACGAUUUCCUGGUAAAAUCAACCACUUUUUUCAUGUUUUACUGCAACAAUUGUGACAAUCAACAUACAUUGACAGCGUGUGUUCAAAGCAGACAGAGCUUUGUUUAAGGCAAAGACUUUUUGAGACAAGGACUGGUCUCAUAAAGGCAGAGCAAUCACCUGAAUCUUUCCAUGUGGGAGUUCAUCUGUGCCCAUCAGGGGCUUUUCAAGAAAACAGCAAUUUCUUUCUCCCGACCGCAGCCUGAAACUGCCAGGUCUCUUCAUUGGCUUUCUUCUGGAGCACUGAUCUGUACCAAAAUGUUACACAGGCAGCCUGAGUGAUGCUGAAAUGCUGAGCUAAAAUGAGUAAUAUAAACAGUAACACUGGUUACUCCUAUUGUCAGAAUUUACAUCCUAGGAUGAGUGCUAUCCAAGCCAAGGAACAGAAUUUACAUCCUAGGAUGAGUGCUAUCCAAGCCAAGGAAUUUCUCACUCUUCACUCACAGUUAAUGUGAACGUGCAGGGCAGCUGAUGAACACCAAAGUGCUCUACACUUACACUGUUUCAAGGACAGCUUUCUUCAAGUGCAGAAAGUCCCAAUCUUGUGUGGUAAAUAAUGCUACUUUUCUCCUGCAAAGAUACCUAAGUUCCUGUCAACAUUUGUUGUCUUGCUGGCCAAGAAGAGCUAGCUUUUGCUUAUCUUUGAUUUUUAUUCAUUUAUGAGAAGAUGAGAUUGAAAAGAAAAGAGCUUCCAUUUUGCUGCAAUGGCAUAAAAACCUUCACCUUGCUGUGGCCAAAAUGUCCAUUUUACCCUGUAAUGUGCUCUCUUUCUUUUACAGUGACGCUUCGUGUAUUGUGGAAUUGAUUGUAUGGAUGUAGCAAAGUUGCAUUAUAAAAUUACAAGGUCUUUGAUAAAUAU
Pogoniulus pusillus (Red-fronted tinkerbird) is the source of this 2063-nucleotide long non-coding RNA. RefSeq lists it as uncharacterized. NCBI's taxonomy places the organism in Eukaryota, Metazoa, Chordata, Aves, Piciformes, Lybiidae. The transcript is spliced from 3 exons. The record is from RefSeq and is a predicted model, not a curated record.